GGCCUCUGAAGAGCACCGGCAGCUUCCUUCUUAGCAGAGGAGAAAAUCUCUGCCAUCUCGUGCUCGCCUACCUCGACUCGCCAGACGCCCUGGAGCAGAGGAGGAGCAGUGGUCGGCAGCGGCCAGCCGUGCAGGUGCCACACCUGAUGGUCCACCUGGGAGAACCAGGCAGGAAGCCGGAAAGGGGCUCCCGAAUGAGACAUCCUGUGUUGAUCGCAGCCGUCUCCCAGCAUGUGGAGCAACACUAGGACCGUGGUAGAUGUUCAGUCAUGUUCGCUGAAGGAAGAAGGGAGUGAAUGAAUGUCUUCUCUGAGGAUAGCUGAGCAUCCGUGCAUCCGUCUGGCCAUGAGAACUUGGUUGCGCUCACAUGAGGAUCCUGAGCAGGGUCGCAGUGCACGCUCUGCGGGGAGCCGGAAGGAAAAAGAGUCAGCCUUGGGGAACUCGGGACACAGCCAACCCCAGGAAUGUGCCUUUGGGUCAGAGCCCAGCCCAGCUCUGCUUCCACAGGGAGAGAUGGGGAGAGAUGAUCCCAACGUGUGACUCUAAAAGCCGAAUACUAAAGGCUUCUGUAUACUCAGGGUCACAGAAGCUCAACCGUGUCCAUUGGAAAGGCUCUUACUCGUAAUUUAAAACACAAAAAUGAAAAAGAGAUACAGACAGCCCAACUAAAUCCUUGAAAUGCAGCGUGGCGUGAAAAUGGAGCGGCAUUUUAGUUAACGAGGGUCUGGAUGCCAUUCACAGGAAUGCAGUUUCUACAGGGUUCUGCUUUGCAGAGACCUCUCCUGAUAAUAAUAAUAAAUUUACUCAGAACAAU
RNAcentral lists this long non-coding RNA (814 nucleotides) under Homo sapiens (human). RNAcentral's name for it is "HSALNT0131946". The record is from RNAcentral. Lineage: Eukaryota; Metazoa; Chordata; Mammalia; Primates; Hominidae.